GAAGCUAACACUCACUGAAAUGCCUAAUUUUGUUGAAUGGUUGGAAGUAGUGUUGCUUAAUUCCUCCUUUCCAUCUCUUGAGGAGUUGGCAGUUUGGUCAUGCCCUGAGCUGAAAAUCACACCAAGUCAGUUCCCUUUACUAAAAGGGUUGUACUUUGUACAAACAAACAAGAUGGCACUGAGGUCACUGUCAAGCAACCUUAUCUCUCUCAACAUUCUUAAAAUUAUUAGGUGUCGAGACCUCAAGUCUGUGCCGAAGAGGUUGCUACAGAACAAUGCACAUGUUCUUGAGAGCAUGCGGUUUUCAGAUUGCCCUGAGCUUGAAACAAUUUUUCCAAGUGAAGGACAAGGGAAGGGAUCUUCCUUGCCCACCCUAGUCUUUCCCUCUCUUCAAUCCUUGGACAUAAUUGAAUGUCCUCUUGUAAAUCCUUUGCCAGACUUACAAGGAAUGACUUUUCUUCGAUGGUUGAAUUUGACUGGCUUUGAGGAGUUGAAGUCACUACCAGAAGGGUUGCAGCGUCUCACUAUGCUUGAGUGGUUAGAAAUUGGUUGGUUUUCAGAGGGGCUAGAUUAUAUACAAGGGGAAGAGAAUCUCCAACACCUUGUCUCCCUUCAGUACUUAGCACUUCUGGGCUGGCCUCAGCACAAGAAUCUCCGAGACCAACUUAAGCACCUCAUUAAUCUACGAGAUGUGUGGACAACAGAUAUAGUUUUGAAAUGAUUAAUCAAAAAGGUCCUAUCUGGCUCACUGAUGGAAGUCCCAAAAAAAUCCCUAUUUGUAGAAGCAAGCAAAUAACUUACUUGGCUAAGAAGAUGUUGUUCAGGUGAGGUUAGAUCUAGCUUAUUUUAUUGUUCAUAUUUCUCUUACCUCUUAUUUUAUUUUAUUUUUUGUAUUGUUAAACCAUAAAUAAAUCAUUGGUCUCUUACUUCCUCUUUUAUUCAGUAUCAUCUUAUCUGGCUCUUUAAUAGAUGGAACAAAGAGAGAUGUUUGGACCAUUCAUACGGCUUGAUUUCCCAUUCAUGGAUUGGUGGAUGGUUUCUUUACAUUGACCUUUUGCUUUCAGUUGAUAGCUCUACUAGCACUAUUCUUACAGUUUAUAUGAUUUCAAGGGAUUCUUCACACCAUCAACUCAAUUUGCUGAGUUCGUUACUCAAUAUGAGGGGGCAGUAAAGAAGAGGCGAGGGAAGGAAUCAGAGGUGGACAUAGCUUCAAUCACCACUACUCCAAUAAUACAGAAAAUGCAUCCAAUCGAAAAGCAAGCUGCUGAAAUUGUUACAGAUAAGGUUGGGACAUUUGGGGAAAAGAUGAAGUGAUCCAGGUCCUAGUCCAGAGUAGACUGCAAGUGGUUUGGAAGAAAACAAGAUAUCAAAUUGUAGCUGCAAAGAAGGCAUGCCAUUGCUCAGUUUGCAGUGGUGUUGGUUACAAGAAAUGAAACUGUUCACCAGUCCAAGGUUUGCAGCUAACAACCAACAAAUUGGUGAAGCUUCUUUAGGCAUUCAGUUACCAGUCAAAUUAAUGAUCAUGUUGAAGAUUUGAAGGAGUAUCAAAACCCACAAGUCACUGCUUCGCGAUAGUGAAAAGUGAGAUUAGUUUACAAUCCCUGCUGUACACAGGCAAGGCAAAGGCUGGGGCAGGGGGUGUAUUCAGGAAUGAGUCAGCUGCAGUAGUUGCUUCAUUCGGGGAGUAUCUUGGAGUCAAGACAAAUUUUGAAGCAGAAUUCAUGGCUCUCAUAGGUGGUUUGGAAAAGCAAAGUCGCAAGGAUUUAUGAAAUUAUGGAUUGAGUGUGACUCAGUUGCAGUGGUUACUCUCAUCCUCAAAGGGACUACCCUGCGGUGUGUUUGUCAAAGGUGGUUGAGUAUGAUCCUAUCGCUGAACACCUCGCAAAAUCAGCGGCUAAAUUUGAGAGUUCAGAUCCUAGCUUGGCCAACUCUAGUCAACAUGGAUUUAGAGGUUGAUGCUCUGAAUCGUCCAAGAUACCGUCUUAAAUAAUUUGCUCAAUUUAUUUUUCUUUUUGUGGAGGGUCUCUCUUGGUUAGUCUACCCUGCUAAUGGUAAUGCCGAAGGUGGGUUAGUCUAUCUAGGAGUUUCUUUCUCAGUAGCAGUGUCUGGUGUUUAGCUAGGUUUUUGUAUCUCUUUUUUGCUUUUCGCUUUUUCAUUAUUAAUCCUAUGAUCUUUUAUCA
Molecule: long non-coding RNA, 2180 nt
Organism: Macadamia integrifolia
Lineage: Eukaryota; Viridiplantae; Streptophyta; Magnoliopsida; Proteales; Proteaceae
Exons: 5
Source: RefSeq, a predicted model, not a curated record